Molecule: unclassified non-coding RNA, 160 nt
Filed under: uncultured Pseudeurotiaceae
Lineage: Eukaryota; Fungi; Ascomycota; Leotiomycetes; Thelebolales; Pseudeurotiaceae
Description: sequence contains ITS1
Source: RNAcentral
AAGAGAACUUGCCCUCCGGGGUAGAUCUCCCACCCUCUGUUUACAUACUUUGUUGCUUUGGCAGGCCCGUCUCCGGACCGCCGGCUUCGGCUGGCCCGUGCCUGCCAGAGGAUUCAAAACUCUGAUAAUCAUGUCGUCUGAGUACUAUUAUAAAUAGUUA